Molecule: unclassified non-coding RNA, 316 nt
Filed under: plant metagenome
Description: partial contains 5.8S ribosomal RNA, internal transcribed spacer 2, and large subunit ribosomal RNA
Rfam family: 5.8S ribosomal RNA (bases 1-105)
Source: RNAcentral
GAACUGCGAUAAGUAAUGUGAAUUGCAGAAUUCAGUGAAUCAUCGAGUCUUUGAACGCACAUUGCGCCCCCUGGCAUUCCGGGGGGCAUGCCUGUCCGAGCGUCAUUGCUGCCCUUCAAGCCCGGCUUGUGUGUUGGGUCGUCGUCCCCCUCGGGGGACGGGCCCGAAAGGCAGCGGCGGCACCGUGUCCGGUCCUCGAGCGUAUGGGGCUUUGUCACCCUCUCGAUUAGGGCCGGCCGGGCGCCAGCCGGCGUCUCCAACCUUAUUUUUCUCAGGUUGACCUCGGAUCAGGUAGGGAUACCCGCUGUACUUAAGC